Pelobates cultripes (western spadefoot toad) is the source of this 67-nucleotide non-coding RNA. The record is from the annotation of a GenBank genome assembly. Lineage: Eukaryota; Metazoa; Chordata; Amphibia; Anura; Pelobatidae.
UACAAGGACUGACAACUUUUUUGUUUAUAUAUAUAUAUAUAUAAACAAAAAAGUUGUCAGUCCUUGU